UCCCCUGUAGCUCAAUUGGCAGAGCAUCUGACUGUUAAUCAGAGGGUUACUGGUUCGAGUCCAGUCGGGGGAGCUU
This 76-nucleotide transfer RNA is filed under the name Cutibacterium acnes. Its description in RNAcentral is "tRNA-Asn". It matches the Rfam family "tRNA". From Rfam's summary of the family: Transfer RNA (tRNA) molecules are approximately 80 nucleotides in length. Their secondary structure includes four short double-helical elements and three loops (D, anti-codon, and T loops). Further hydrogen bonds mediate the characteristic L-shaped molecular structure. tRNAs have two regions of fundamental functional importance: the anti-codon, which is responsible for specific mRNA codon recognition, and the 3' end, to which the tRNAs corresponding amino acid is attached (by aminoacyl-tRNA synthetases). tRNAs cope with the degeneracy of the genetic code in two manners: having more than one tRNA (with a specific anti-codon) for a particular amino acid; and 'wobble' base-pairing, i.e. permitting non-standard base-pairing at the 3rd anti-codon position. Lineage: Bacteria; Bacillati; Actinomycetota; Actinomycetes; Propionibacteriales; Propionibacteriaceae. The record is from RNAcentral. RNAcentral also lists the same sequence under 2 other names.